UAAUGUGAAUUGCAGAAUUCAGUGAAUCAUCGAAUCUUUGAACGCACCUUGCCGCUCCUUGGUAUUCCGAGGAGCAUGCCUGUUUGAGUGUCAUU
This 95-nucleotide ribosomal RNA is filed under the name uncultured fungus. Its description in RNAcentral is "partial 5.8S ribosomal RNA". It matches the Rfam family "5.8S ribosomal RNA", at positions 63 to 154 of the family's 154-position model. Rfam says of the family: 5.8S ribosomal RNA (5.8S rRNA) is a component of the large subunit of the eukaryotic ribosome. It is transcribed by RNA polymerase I as part of the 45S precursor that also contains 18S and 28S rRNA. Functionally, it is thought that 5.8S rRNA may be involved in ribosome translocation. The record is from RNAcentral. Lineage: Eukaryota; Fungi.